CAGGGGGUAUUUUAUGUUUAAAAUAUUAGUUUUGGGGAUUAAUGAAAUGGUGUUUACCUUUCCUCUGA
This 68-nucleotide transfer RNA is filed under the name Amitermes sp. RNAcentral's name for it is "tRNA-Pro". RNAcentral also lists the same sequence under 1 other name. The record is from RNAcentral. Lineage: Eukaryota; Metazoa; Arthropoda; Insecta; Blattodea; Termitidae.